RNAcentral lists this ribosomal RNA (527 nucleotides) under uncultured bacterium. Its description in RNAcentral is "bacterial SSU rRNA". It matches the Rfam family "Bacterial small subunit ribosomal RNA", at positions 28 to 526 of the family's 1533-position model. The record is from RNAcentral.
GACGAACGCUGGCGGCGUGCCUAAUACAUGCAAGUUGAACGCUAAAGCUUUAACUGGUGCUUGCACCGACUUAAGUUUUUAGAGUAGCGGACGGGUGAGUAACACGUGGGUAACCUGCCCAUCAGAGGGGGAUAACACUUGGAAACAGGUGCUAAUACCGCAUAAUUCCUUUUACCGCAUGGUAAAAGGCUGAAAGGCGCUUCUGGUGUCACUGAUGGAUGGACCCGCGGUGCAUUAGCUAGUCGGUGGGGUAACGGCCUACCGAGGCGAUGAUGCAUAGCCGACCUGAGAGGGUGAUCGGCCACAUUGGGACUGAGACACGGCCCAAACUCCUACGGGAGGCAGCAGUAGGGAAUCUUCGGCAAUGGACGGAAGUCUGACCGAGCAACGCCGCGUGUGUGAAGAAGGCCUUCGGGUUGUAAAGCACUUUCAGCGAGGAGGAAGGUGGUGAGCUUAAUACGCUCAUCAAUUGACGUUACUCGCAGAAGAAGCACCGGCUAACUCCGUGCCAGCAGCCGCCGUAACAC